AGAGUUUGAUCCUGGCUCAAUUGAACGCUGGCGGCGUGCUUAACACAUGCAAGUCGUGCGAGAAAGUCCGCUUCGGUGGAUGAGUACAGCGGCGCACGGGUGAGUAACGCGUGGAUGAUCUGCCCUCAUGAUCGGGAUAACAGUGGGAAACCGCUGCUAAUACCGGAUACGCUCUGUUUUCGACUUCAGGGGAAAGGCGGCCUCUGCUUGCAAGCUGUCGCAUGGGGAUGAGUCCGCGUCUCAUUAGCUUGACGGUGGGGUAACGGCCCACCGUGGCUACGAUGAGUAGCCGGCCUGAGAGGGUGGCCGGCCACACUGGGACUGGAACACGGCCCAGACUCCUACGGGAGGCAGCAGUGGGGAAUAUUGCGCAAUGGGCGAAAGCCUGACGCAGCGACGCCGCGUGAGGGGAAGAAGGCCUUCGGGUCGUAAACCUCUGUCAGGAGGGAAGAACCCCAUGGAUGCGAACAGCGUCUGUGGCUGACGGUACCUCCAGAGGAAGCACCGGCUAACUCCGUGCCAGCAGCCGCGGUAAUACGGAGGGUGCGAGCGUUAAUCGGAAUCACUGGGCGUAAAGCGCACGUAGGCGGCUUCGCAAGUCGGGCGUGAAAGCCCUCGGCUCAACCCGAGGAAUUGCGCUCGAAACUGCAGGGGCUGGAGUCCGGGAGAGGGGUGGGCGGAAUUUCCGGGUGUAGGAGUGAAAUCCGUAGAUAUCCGGAGGAACACCAGUGGCGAAAGCGGCCACCUGGACCGGUACUGACGCUGAGGUGCGAAAGCGUGGGGAGCAAACAGGA
Molecule: ribosomal RNA, 794 nt
Filed under: uncultured bacterium
Lineage: Bacteria
Description: bacterial SSU rRNA
Rfam family: Bacterial small subunit ribosomal RNA
Source: RNAcentral